Molecule: non-coding RNA, 3003 nt
Organism: Taeniopygia guttata (zebra finch)
Lineage: Eukaryota; Metazoa; Chordata; Aves; Passeriformes; Estrildidae
Source: RefSeq, a predicted model, not a curated record
UACAAGGGUUGCAUGGCAGGAAAUUGAGCACAGGAGCCUUAACAGUUGGAUGCUGAUUCCCUGCAGUUCCCAUCCUGCAGACAAGAUCACUUUCAAAAUGAGGCUAUAAAGACACAGGCCUUUCACUUCCACCAAUAUUGGACUUGUGAAUCUCUUCAUGGAUGUUCUCAGAGCUGCAGGCUGUGAUGGUCCAAACCCCAUGCUGUAACACAGCUGUCCAGAAUGGCUCAGGAGCAAUAGCAGCAGAACUCUGGAAUAUCCAGCACUUUUUAUGUAUUCCCUUCACCACCACAACCUUAUGCUGCAGGAAUGGAUGGCAGAAUGGAUGAGUGUUAUUUACUGAAGAUGGUCAGCUCUGCUUUCACUUCCACUGCUCAAAUAUUUCUGUAUUCUUGAAUGGAUGAUGUGUGCUGCUCUCUACAGUAAAGUGCCAUAGGAAGAAAAAAAAGUUUGGAAGACAACUUUUCAGAUCAGAUUAUCCUUCUAUAAAUACAGCAAAUUUCUGUGGGAGAAUCUAAAUAACUUGAUGGAAAUUUCUGAAAAGUUUAAGACAAUAAAUUUCAAUUUUUUGAUAUUUAUUGCCUUAAAAUUUAUUUAUUGCCUUUAUUUUAUUUAAAAAUAAAUUUAAAUAAAGUCAUCAAUUUCACUUCAAAGCUUUUCAAAAUCCUUCAAAUUGAACUUCCUCCUGACUUGGUAAAAUUACCUGAAGUGCUUAAUGUCAAGUUAUUUUAAUGUUAGUGUUAAUUUAAAUUUAGCAUUCAUCUGUAUCUUCCCAGGUGGAAUGUUACCCUUGAGAAGGAAAAGGAUUACUGGAUGAAAAUAGAGAUUUCCAAUGUCUCAGGUAUUGUGGCCAGGCAACUCAGUGGCCAGUGCUCACUAUGCACCAAGAAUCCCACCAGUCCUGUGAUGAUCUAAAAAUGUUGUAGCCUAACCCCAAGACCAGAAAGUAGAAGGCAAAAAAGAAACUAUUCUGGUUAGAAUCAAAUCAAGCUGAAAUGAAGUAUUUUGCUGUGAGCUUUCUGAUAGAAAAUCAGGACUUAAAAAGUUUACCAGAAUGAACCAUAUUGGGUACAAACAGCUUGUUGCAUUAGUAAAACAUUUCAUCAGAAAAUCUGAGCUGCCUCUGAUCACAUCUGCUACAUGUAUUUUCUUUGCUUUCCUCAAACACAAAUUAAACUCUUUAUAAGGAGAUGGACAGCUAAGUAUGCAUAGGAAUUUUGGAGGACAACUGGGAGACAUUUCUUCAGUAAUAAUGACUAAAAUUGUUCCAAAAAAUGAAGAUUAAACAUUGAGCCCUUUAGCCUAUGUUUAGGUUUUUGUUUGGUCUGUAUUUAGGCAUGUUAGUACAACCCAGUUUUCAGUAUAUGCUGGACAAACAUUAAUUUGCUUUUAUUAAGGCCCCAGGCAUGGAUUUCAUCAAGAUAUUGUUUAUAAAUUUUUUGGUUUUGGUAGGUCAGAAAGAAUCCCAGCUUAAAAAACACUGUAUUUCUCAUCAUUGUGAAAAACUGUUUAUUACAAUCCAUUCCCAAUGAAAUUACAUUUCCAUAAUUGAUAGAAUAAUUAGUCAUAACACAAUACAAAAUUUAUUAAAUACAAUAGGAGUGCUACUUUCUUCAUUGUCACAACUCCUUCUGAAAAUGGAAUAUAAAUUAAAUGCAUUUUUACUAAAUUGUUGGCUUCUAAAAUCUGUAUAAUUUUAAUGAAGAAAAUAGAUUUUUUUUAGAACAGUUAACAUUUGAUAAUGUUGGAGAUCUAACAUAGCUGCUUGAGAAUUACCUGUAUGUUAACAAGAGAUGUGCUAAAUAAUAGAAUUACUGUAAUUUCUGAAGCACAAAUAUUCAUAUCAUCCAGAAGGUCAAGUGUCACAGCAGGCUGUUUGUAUUCACAGCUAGCAGAACCAGAGCUAUUUGUAUGAAAACUAGAGACAAAGAAACAGUUUUUAAAUUUUCCACAUUUUGUAGGGUUUUUUAAGAGAAGUGUUCUCGAUAUAGCAAAAGAAGUUAUAUCCAAUUUACUUCAAUUUAAGUGGACUGAGAUAAAAUGGCUUCAGAAAUAAUAACUAAAUGUAUCAGAUGUAGGAUUUAAGACUCUCACAGGCCUUUCAUGUCUGAGUCUAUAUUUAUCAUGUCUGCACUUUUUCAAGCAAAAAAUUCAUCAGAUUUGAACUGUAUUUUUUUCUUAUUCAGCUCUAAGAGAAGCAAAGCACAGAUGUGGUUCUGUGCAGAGCCUCUCUCCAGGGCCAGGUCAUUAAUAUUCACAAGAAGAAAAUUAGUCAUUAGAAAGAGUUUGUUUCUUCUGACAAGGCAAGCUGAUAAGAAAUAUUCCAGCAAAGAAAAGACAAAAAUAAAUGAAGGAGAAAAGAUUAGAUGGUGACAUUUCAUCCUUGAAAGCAGCAUAUUUUUACAAGGUAGCUAUUAUCAUUAAGUUACACCCAAAUAGGAAUGGCUAUUAACAAAAGCACUGAAAGUUUAAUUAAAGGCUAUGGAGAGUUUAAUUUAGCAAAGGUAGUAUGAAAUUCUUCUCAAGCCAAAGGAGAAGUGAACUGGGAGGGAUAUGAUGGGAAAGAGGGGGGAAGAGCUGUGCAGAAGCACCUUUCAUCUCCUUCACUGUAAAAAUCAAAAUGCAUUAGCUUCUAAAAUGGCCUUGCUAUGAAAGAAAUAGGAAUAAAAAGCAGAAGAGAAUAAGCUGAGCUUUUACUGAGUAGGAAUGAGAGCUUCAGCUGCAGCUAACUUGAAUGUUAGAAUACUGGCUAGGAAAGAGGAGAUACUGGCAUUUCAGCAGACCAGCGAUUUCCAAGACAUGUCUGUUUACUACUUCACUUGUGCUGUCAGUAAAAUACCCAGAUGCUGACAGGAACUGAUGUUUCCUGAGCAAAUACACACUGUUGACACAGUGAAUACAUCAUAAACUGGUGAGACUGGUAAACACAAUGUCAGUUACAAGCUUCUUUAUUACAUCAUAUGUGUAUUUAUGCCUCCAAAAUAAAUACAUAUUAAUAUUUCA